This 359-nucleotide unclassified non-coding RNA is filed under the name uncultured fungus. RNAcentral describes it as "partial contains small subunit ribosomal RNA, internal transcribed spacer 1, and 5.8S ribosomal RNA". The stretch from base 1 to 73 matches the Rfam family "Eukaryotic small subunit ribosomal RNA", at positions 1759 to 1831 of the family's 1831-position model. Lineage: Eukaryota; Fungi. The record is from RNAcentral.
GCAAACUUGGUCAUUUAGAGGAAGUAAAAGUCGUAACAAGGUUUCCGUAGGUGAACCUGCGGAAGGAUCAUUAAUAUGGACCAACAGGGGUCUAAAAUCCCGUGUCACCAGCUAUCUAUCACGGCGUAAAACACCAUGAUAGCUCUGGCUGCUGUGUGCCCAUUAACCCAUUGUGAAACUUCUACCAUUGCUUCGGCAGCACUCUCAGCAAAAGCUGGAGGGGUAAGGCUGUCAGAAGCCCAUAUCAAACUAGUUUAUGAAAUGUCAUGCUGUCUGAUAACUACUAUUUGAGAAAUCAAAUUUAUCUUAAAACUUUCAGCAACGGAUCUCUUGGUUCUCGCAUCGAUGAAGAACGCAGC